AUUGAACGCUGGCGGAAUGCUUUACAUAUGCAAGUCGAACGGCAGCACGGGUGCUUGCACCUGGUGGCGAGUGGCGAACGGGUGAGUAAUACAUCGGAACGUACCCUGACGUGGGGGAUAACGUAGCGAAAGUUACGCUAAUACCGCAUACGUCCUGAGGGAGAAAGCGGGGGAUCGCAAGACCUCUUGUUAUUGGAGCGGCCGAUGGCUGAUUAGCUAGUUGGUAGGGUAAAGGCCUACCAAGGCAACGAUCAGUAGCGGGUCUUAGAGGACGAUCCGCCACACUGGAACUGAGACACGGUCCAGACUCCUACGGGAGGCAGCAGUGGGGAAUCUUGGACAAUGGGCGCAAGCCUGAUCCAGCAAUGCCGCGUGCGUGAAGAAGGCCUUCGGGUUGUAAAGCGCUUUUGUCAGGGAGCAAAUCCUUGUGGCUAAUACCCACCGGGGAUGAGAGUACCUGAAGAAUAAGGACCGGCUAACUACGUGCCAGCCGCCGCAGUAA
RNAcentral lists this ribosomal RNA (502 nucleotides) under uncultured bacterium. RNAcentral describes it as "partial 16S ribosomal RNA". It matches the Rfam family "Bacterial small subunit ribosomal RNA", at positions 30 to 523 of the family's 1533-position model. The record is from RNAcentral.